This 91-nucleotide small RNA is filed under the name Salmonella enterica subsp. enterica serovar Infantis. RNAcentral describes it as "partial RtT sRNA". It matches the Rfam family "RtT RNA", at positions 38 to 130 of the family's 130-position model. Rfam says of the family: This family represents a bacterial cis-regulatory element known as RtT RNA. Lineage: Bacteria; Pseudomonadati; Pseudomonadota; Gammaproteobacteria; Enterobacterales; Enterobacteriaceae. The record is from RNAcentral. RNAcentral also lists the same sequence under 3 other names.
CAGGUUCGGGUCUCACGUAGUGAGACAACGGAGCCGCUUGCGGCGACGGCCCGAAGGGCGAGCAAAGCGAGUCAUCCUGCACGACCCACCA